Molecule: ribosomal RNA, 495 nt
Filed under: uncultured bacterium
Lineage: Bacteria
Description: bacterial SSU rRNA
Rfam family: Bacterial small subunit ribosomal RNA
Source: RNAcentral
ACGCUGGCGGCGUGCCUAAUACAUGCAAGUAGAACGCUGAAGAGAGGAGCUUGCUCUUCUUGGAUGAGUUGCGAACGGGUGAGUAACGCGUAGGUAACCUGCCUUGUAGCGGGGGAUAACUAUUGGAAACGAUAGCUAUUACCGCAUAACAAUAGGUGACACAUGUCAUUUAAUUUGAAAAGGGGGCAAUUGCUCCACUACAAGAUGGACCUGCGUUGUAUUAGCUAGUAGGUGAGGUAACGGCUCACCUAGGCGACGAUACAUAGCCGACCUGAGAGGGUGAUCGGCCACACUGGGACUGAGACACGGCCCAGACUCCUACGGGAGGCAGCAGUAGGGAAUCUUCGGCAAUGGGGGCAACCCUGACCGAGCAACGCCGCGUGAGUGAAGAAGGUUUUCGGAUCGUAAAGCUCUGAUGUAAGUCAAGAACGAGUGUGAGAGUGGAAAGUUCACACUGUGACGGUAGCUUACCAGAAAGGGACGGCUAACUACGUG